RNAcentral lists this ribosomal RNA (301 nucleotides) under uncultured bacterium. Its description in RNAcentral is "partial 16S ribosomal RNA". It matches the Rfam family "Bacterial small subunit ribosomal RNA", at positions 512 to 810 of the family's 1533-position model. The record is from RNAcentral.
CAGUCCGCGGGAAUACGUAGGUGGCAAGCGUUGUCCGGAAUUAUUGGGCGUAAAGCGCGCGCAGGCGGCCUAUCCAGUCUGUCUUAAAAGUUCGGGGCUCAACCCCGUGAUGGGAUGGAAACUAGUAGGCUAGAGUAUCGGAGAGGAAAGCGGAAUUCCUAGUGUAGCGGUGAAAUGCGUAGAUAUUAGGAAGAACACCAGUGGCGAAGGCGGCUUUCUGGACGAAAACUGACGCUGAGGCGCGAAAGCUAGGGGAGCAAAUGGGAUUAGAUACCCCCGUAGUCCCUGUCUCUUAUACACA